RNAcentral lists this ribosomal RNA (494 nucleotides) under uncultured bacterium. RNAcentral describes it as "bacterial SSU rRNA". It matches the Rfam family "Bacterial small subunit ribosomal RNA", at positions 28 to 519 of the family's 1533-position model. The record is from RNAcentral.
GAUGAACGCUAGCGGCAGGCCUAAUACAUGCAAGUCGAGGGGCAGCGCGGUAGCAAUACUGGCGGCGACCGGCGCACGGGUGCGUAACACGUAUGCAACCUACCUUCAACUGGAGGAUAGCCCGGGGAAACUCGGAUUAAUACUCCAUAACACAGGGAUCCCGCAUGGGAAUAUUGUUAAAGCUACGGCGGUUGAAGAUGGGCAUGCGUUCGAUUAGCUAGUUGGUGUAGGUAACGGCUCACCAAGGCUACGAUCGAUAGGGGGUCUGAGAGGAUGAUCCCCCACACUGGUACUGAGAUACGGACCAGACUCCUACGGGAGCAGCAGUAGGGAAUAUUGGUCAAUGGAGGCAACUCUGAACCAGCCAUGCCGCGUGCAGGAUGACGGCCCUAUGGGUUGUAAACUGCUUUUAUACAAGAGAAAACCCUGGUACGUGUACCAGGUUGAUAGUAUUGUAAGAAUAAGCAUCGGCUAACUUCGUGCCAGCAGCCGCG